CUGGACGACAACGCAUUUCGUUUUUCAAUCUCCCGUGCAACACGGGCCGUGUGCUUACCUUCUUGUCGAUCACAUCGACGUCGCAACGCCACGCCACGCCACCGCCGGCCAACCCCGUCUCCUCUUUCUAGAAUAAGAACGAAGCGAAGGCCAAAGCAUAUGGGAACAGCUUCGGUUGCUUCCAAUCUCAUCUGUUUGCCGUAGAGAGAACUUUGCUGGGCUGGAAAUUCUCAGCAAUUUCGCACUUUUUUUUUUGGAGAAGGCGCGUUGUUGUAGUAGGUGGUAUGGCAAGCGGCGGGAGGGUCAUCUACAAGCGCGCCGCGCCGGGCGGGAGGCACCUCCACCGAUCCAAGAUCUCCGAUGAUGAGGACGAUGAGGAGUAUGUCUUGGAGGAGGAAGAUGAUGAGGAGGAGAGCUCUGAUGAAGCCCUCGACGCGUCCGAUGCUUCUAAGGAAGAGUUCGAGUUUGGGGGGUCCGCCAGCGGUUCCGAUGAUGUUAAUCGGCCGGCGGCUAAGCUCGAUGAGGACGAUGAGAUCUCGUUGGGGCGGAGGCCCAAACGUCUGAAGUGCUUUUCUAGAGCCAAAAAGAGGGCGGUGAAGAAACCUAGGUUUUCAUAUUAUGACGACGAUGACUAUAAGGCCGAGGAGGAAGAAGAAGAAGAAGAAGAAGAAGAAGAAGAAGAAGAAGAAGAGGAAAUUCCAUCUCUUAGGAGGAAGAGAAAGAACAUAAAUUCACGUGCAGUUAGAUCUCGCUACCAGAAGACCAAAAGAUCAGAUUAUGAUGAAGUGGAGAUGGAGGGAGAAGAAGAGUAUGGAAAAAAGGAAAUUUUAUCUCUCAGGAACAGGGGAAGGAACGGAAAUGCAUCUCGAGUUAGAUCUUACCACCGAAGGAGUAAAGGUUCAGAGUAUAAGGAAGAGGAGAUAGAGGAAGAAGAAGAAACUGAUGAAAAAGAAGUUUUAUCGCUUAGAAAGAGAGGGAGGAACAGAAAUGCACCAGCAGCUCAACCUCACAACCAACAGGCCAAAGGUUCAGAUUAUGAGGAAGAGGAGAUGGAGGAGGAAGAUGAAAAGGAUGAGGAUUUCUCACCUGAUGAGCAGGAUCUUGUUGAUGAGGAAGUCUCAAUGCCUUCUGGAUUGAAAAAGCAAGGACAAAUGAAGAAGGGUGGUAUGAUGCAGGAGCAAUGGAUUUCAAGGCAAAAGAAAAGGGGAAACAGAUGCCAGAAGAGAUCUGAGCACGAUGAUGGUUUUAUUGUGAAAGAUCGUGUUGCUGCCAGUAGAAAGACCAAGACAACCAAGAAAGCAAGGAGGAAGAUGAGCUCAACAUCAAAGGACACCAAGAAGAAAUUGUUGGAGGAGUCAGAUACGCCUGAUUUUGAUUUUGUAAGUUCUGAUGAUGAUUUUGUAGAGGAGGCCAUUAUGUUGGAUGAACCAAGGAACAAAAGCAGGAGUAUCCAGAAGACUAAAAGUUCUGUGAUAAGAAGGCAAAAAGUGUCACUUGAGGAAUCAGAAUCUUGUUCAGAUGGUGAUUAUAACAUUUCUGAGCAUGUGUUGAGGGAUCUGGGGAGUAGUGGGAUUGUGAAUCUGCUACAGACAGAUAGGAUAGUUGCUCGAAUAAAAAGCGUUGAGAAAGGUAAGGAGAAAGAAAAUGAGGAAUCAGGGAAGCCAUUGUGUGGUAUUUGCUUGACAGAGGAACAUAGAACAACAGUUAGAGGAGUGUUGAAUUCUUGCACUCAUUUUUUUUGUUUUCCAUGUAUAAUGGAGUGGUCAAAGGUAGAGUCACGAUGUCCUGUUUGCAAGAGGAGGUUUGGAACCAUUACCAAGUCCUCUAGAUCAGAUCCAGGGUUCGGGUUAAGGAAAGCAGUUAUCAAAGUUGAAAAGCGUGAUCAGGUUUAUCAACCUUCUGAGGAAGAAAUAAGGCGAAUGCUGGAUCCAUACGAAAAUGUGGUAUGCAUAGAAUGCCAUCAAGGUGGAGAUGAUACUCUCAUGUUGCUGUGUGAUAUCUGUGAUUCGCCUGCUCACACAUAUUGUGUUGGUCUUGGGAGGGAAGUGCCAGAAGGCAAUUGGUACUGUGAGUGUUGUAAAUCUGCAGUUGAUGAUUCAUCAUACUUGCAAAAUCAAGAUUUUGGGGAUGAUCAAGCAGCUGGCAAUAUUGACAUGUUAGGCAGUCUCAUUGAAACAGAGGUUUCAACCCCUUGUGGUAAUACAAAUUUUCAUAGAUCAAGUCAACCUUAUUUCCAUGAAAUUGAUCUGAAUGUUUCGCCAAGAUCAGUGGAAAAUAGCAGUUAUAUAUCUCAGCCCCAUGGUGUUGGACCAUCAACUGUUUUGGGUCGACGUGCACUACAGCAACGUAUAUGCAUCAUGUUGUCCAAUGAUAGAUUGAGGCAAAGUUUUCAGGAGACUCGAGCAUCACAGGGCAAUGUAGGAACUGAUUUUAUGAUAUCAGAAAUUGGACGAAGGAUGGAAAACUCACACAGCUCGCAAAGGUUGAGUUCUUGGAACAGAGUGUCAGUUUCUGAACAGUGCUAUCAGAACGAUAAGCCUUCUUUAUAAUCUGAAGCUAGUUUAGCUCAGUGCACUACAGAAGGCUUAAGUUUAAUAUUUGAAUGAUGCCAUGCGGGAGUAUACUCCCUUACAAAGUGUCAUUUAAAAGAAUUAUUCAGGGAUUCUGCACUUGGUUUUCCAGUAAUAACUAGCUCAAACCAAUCUGGCAGAUCACCUUUUAGGGAAUUCGUUCUGAUUUUCUGCGUGGUUUGUGAAGAUCAAGAGACUGAAGAGGAUUUGAAUGUAAUGUGUGGUGGAAGCAUCAUAGAGAAGAGUUUCUUCUCCUGUUCAUUCUCCCACCCGUUAAGAUAAUUUGGAUCAAGAACAAAGGUUUCCAUCUGAAGGUUGUUACAUAGUAAAUUUUUGCUGCAAUUGCUGUUUGUCACUGCCUGGAUCAUCUCCUGCCACUGUUCGAAUCAUACGAUUUCUGCUUGUGCCAUCGACAAAAUCAGCCCGGUUUCACAGUUUUAUUCUGAUAGAAUGAAGAUUGCCUGCAAGGUUGAAACAGGUUUGUGACUGCUUUUAUCCUGCCCAGUCCAAUUGAUAAAAUAUUUUGUUUAUUUGGAAUGAUGCUGCGCAUUUGAUAUCCAGCGUCGACAAAGAUCCAAUGUUCAAUUUUUCCCCCCUCUUUCAAUUAACUCGGGAGGAUCGUUGACAUUCAUUGCUUUUGCGGAUGACAAAUAUGAUUUCCUUGGGUGUACAUGAUGGUGGCAUCACGUCUAGUUGUUCCUGGACUUCGAUUCAAGAUUGCAUUCUGAAAGAUUUUGUGAAAAUUUUGAAAUUUCGACC
Molecule: RNA transcript, 3329 nt
Organism: Zingiber officinale
Lineage: Eukaryota; Viridiplantae; Streptophyta; Magnoliopsida; Zingiberales; Zingiberaceae
Gene name: stress response protein nst1-like
Exons: 4
Source: RefSeq, a predicted model, not a curated record